Molecule: ribosomal RNA, 637 nt
Filed under: uncultured bacterium
Lineage: Bacteria
Description: bacterial SSU rRNA
Rfam family: Bacterial small subunit ribosomal RNA
Source: RNAcentral
GAGUUUGAUCCUGGCUCAGGAUGAACGCUAGCGGCAGGCUUAACACAUGCAAGUCGAGGGGCAGCGAGAUCAGUGCUUGCACUGAUUGUCGGCGACCGGCGCACGGGUGCGUAACGCGUAUGCAACCUACCCAUUACAGGGGGAUAACACUGAGAAAUCGGUACUAAUACCCCAUAACAUCCAGGGAGGCAUCUUCUUGGGUUGAAAACUCCGGUGGUAAUGGAUGGGCAUGCGUUGUAUUAGUUAGUUGGUGGGGUAACGGCUCACCAAGACAACGAUACAUAGGGGGACUGAGGGGUUAACCCCCCAUAUUGGUACUGAGACACGGACCAAACUCCUACGGGAGGCAGCAGUGAGGAAUAUUGGUCAAUGGACGCAAGUCUGAACCAGCCAUGCCGCGUGCAGGAAGACGGCUCUAUGAGUUGUAAACUGCUUUUGUACGAGGGUAAACUCGGAUACGUGUAUCCGUUUGAAAGUAUCGUACGAAUAAGGAUCGGCUAACUCCGUGCCAGCAGCCGCGGUAAUACGGAGGAUUCAAGCGUUAUCCGGAUUUAUUGGGUUUAAAGGGUGCGUAGGCGGUCGGAUAAGUUAGAGGUGAAAUCCCGGGGCUCAACUUCGGAAUUGCCUCUGAUACUGU